This 92-nucleotide transfer RNA is filed under the name Micromonosporaceae bacterium. Its description in RNAcentral is "tRNA-Ser". It matches the Rfam family "tRNA". From Rfam's summary of the family: Transfer RNA (tRNA) molecules are approximately 80 nucleotides in length. Their secondary structure includes four short double-helical elements and three loops (D, anti-codon, and T loops). The record is from RNAcentral. Lineage: Bacteria; Bacillati; Actinomycetota; Actinomycetes; Micromonosporales; Micromonosporaceae.
GGAGGGUUCGCCUAGUGGCCGAUGGCGGCGGUCUUGAAAACCGCUGAGGCGAGUGAUCGUCUCCGAGGGUUCGAAUCCCUCACCCUCCGCCA